AACGAACGCUGGCGGCGUGGUUGAUACAUGCAAGUCGAACGGGAAAGGAGACUUCGGUCUCCGAGUAUAGUGGCGGACGGGUGAGUAAUAUAUGAUCAAUCUGCCCGAAAGAUCAGGAUAGCCAUCCGAAAGGAUGGGUAAUACUGGAUAAGCUCACAGCGAGGCAUCUCGCAGGGAGAAAAAGAUUGGGAUCUUCGGACCUUUCGCUUUCGGAUGAGAUUAUAUCCUAUCAGUUAGUUGGCGGGGUAACGGCCCACCAAGACUACGACGGGUAGCCGGCCUGAGAGGGUGAACGGCCACACUGGAACUGAGACACGGUCCAGACUCCUACGGGAGGCAGCAGUGCUGAAUUAUUCGCCAAUGCGCGAAAGCGUGACGGUGCGACGCCGCGUGCGGGACGAAGGCCUUCGGGUUGUAAACCGCUGUCAAGGAAUAGAAAACCAUGGUGGUUAAUAGCCAUCAUGCUGAUCAUUCCUAAAGGAAGCACAGGCUAAUCUCGUGCCAGCAGCCGCCGUAAAAC
This 520-nucleotide ribosomal RNA is filed under the name uncultured bacterium. RNAcentral describes it as "bacterial SSU rRNA". It matches the Rfam family "Bacterial small subunit ribosomal RNA", at positions 29 to 526 of the family's 1533-position model. The record is from RNAcentral.